RNAcentral lists this ribosomal RNA (492 nucleotides) under uncultured Bacillota bacterium. RNAcentral describes it as "bacterial SSU rRNA". It matches the Rfam family "Bacterial small subunit ribosomal RNA", at positions 28 to 504 of the family's 1533-position model. The record is from RNAcentral. Lineage: Bacteria; Bacillati; Bacillota.
GACGAACGCUGGCGGCGUGCCUAAUACAUGCAAGUCGAGCGGGAGGCUCUCCUUCGGGAGAGACUCUAGCGGCGAACGGGUGAGUAACACGUGGGCAACCUACCCCGAGGACUGGGAUAACUCCGGGAAACCGGAGCUAAUACCGGAUAAUUCUCCAGCUCGCAUGAGUUGGAGCUGAAAGAUGGCGCAAGCCGUCACCUCGGGAUGGGCCCGCGGCGCAUUAGCUAGUUGGUGGGGUAACGGCUCACCAAGGCGACGAUGCGUAGCCGACCUGAGAGGGUGAUCGGCCACACUGGGACUGAGACACGGCCCAGACUCCUACGGGAGGCAGCAGUAGGGAAUUUUCGGCAAUGGGCGCAAGCCUGACCGAGCAACGCCGCGUGAGUGAUGACGGCCUUCGGGUUGUAAAACUCUGUUCUUCGGGAAGAACGCAGGAGAGGUGAAUAGCCUUUUCUGGUGACGGUACCGAAGGAGAAAGCCCCGGCUAACUAC